UGGGAAUUUUGCACAAUGGGGGAAACCCUGAUGCAGCGACGCCGCGUGAUUUAGAAGGCCUUCGGGUUGUAAAAAUCUUUUCUAUGGGAAGAAAAUGACAGUACCAUAGGAAUAAGGACCGGCUAAUUACGUGCCAGCAGCCGCGGUAAUACGUAAGGUCCGAGCGUUGUCCGGAAUCAUUGGGCGUAAAGGGUACGUAGGCGGGUAAGCAAGUUAGAAGUGAAAUCCUAUAGCUCAACUAUAGUAAGCUUUUAAAACUGCUCAUCUUGAGGUAUGGAAGGGAAAGUGGAAUUCCUAGUGUAGCGUUGAAAUGCGCAGAUAUUAGGAGGAAUACCGGUGGCGAAGGCGACUUUCUGGCCAUAACCUGACGCUGAGGUACGAAAGCGUGGGUAGCAAACAGG
Molecule: ribosomal RNA, 401 nt
Filed under: bacterium
Lineage: Bacteria
Description: partial 16S ribosomal RNA
Rfam family: Bacterial small subunit ribosomal RNA
Source: RNAcentral